Acanthosepion pharaonis is the source of this 109-nucleotide non-coding RNA. Lineage: Eukaryota; Metazoa; Mollusca; Cephalopoda; Sepiida; Sepiidae. The record is from the annotation of a GenBank genome assembly.
UGGCUAAAUCACGUUGAAACACCGUUUCCUCUACGAUCAACGAAGUUAAGCAACGUCGAACGUGGUCAGUACCUAGAUGGGUGACCCCAUGGGAACACUACGUGCUGUA